GAGUGAUUGGGGUGGAGUCGUAACAAGGUAGCUGUAGGUGAACCUGCAGAUCA
RNAcentral lists this ribosomal RNA (53 nucleotides) under uncultured eukaryote. RNAcentral describes it as "partial small subunit ribosomal RNA". The record is from RNAcentral.